GAUGAACGCUGGCGGCGUGCCUAAUACAUGCAAGUCGAGCGAACAGACGCUGGGCUUGCUCCUCUGACAUUAUCGGCGGACGGGUGAGUAAAACGUGGAUAACCUCCCUCUCAGACUGUGAUACCUUCGGGAAACCGGAGCUCAUACAGGGUAAUAUAUUGAACCGCAUGUUUGAAUAGUGAAAAACGUUUUUACUGUAACAUUUAGAUGGAUCCGCGCCGCAUUAGCUAGUUGUUAAGGUAACGGCUUACCAAGGCGACGAUGCGUAGCCGACCUGAGAGGGUGAUCGGCCACACUGGAACUGAGACACGGCCCAGACUCCUACAGGAGGCAGCAGUAGGGAAUCUUCCGCAAAGGGCGAAAGCCUGACGGAGCAACGCCGCGUGAGUGAUGAAGGACUUCGGUUCGUAAAGCUCUGUUAUUAGGGAAGAACAAAUGUGUAAUUAACUUAGCUCUUCUUGACGGUACCUAAUCAGAAAGCCACGGCUAACUACGUG
RNAcentral lists this ribosomal RNA (497 nucleotides) under uncultured bacterium. Its description in RNAcentral is "partial 16S ribosomal RNA". It matches the Rfam family "Bacterial small subunit ribosomal RNA", at positions 28 to 507 of the family's 1533-position model. The record is from RNAcentral.